UAUCGGAACGUACCUUUCAGUGGGGGAUAACGUAGCGAAAGUUACGCUAAUACCGCAUAUUCUGUGAGCAGGAAAGCAGGGGAUCGCAAGACCUUGCGCUGAUUGAGCGGCCGAUAUCAGAUUAGCUAGUUGGUGAGGUAAAGGCUCACCAAGGCGACGAUCUGUAGCGGGUCUGAGAGGAUGAUCCGCCACACUGGAACUGAGACACGGUCCAGACUCCUACGGGAGGCAGCAGUGGGGAAUUUUGGACAAUGGGGGCAACCCUGAUCCAGCCAUGCCGCGUGAGUGAAGAAGGCCUUCGGGUUGUAAAGCUCUUUCGGCCGGGAAGAAAUCGUAUGGGUUAAUACCCUGUGCGGAUGACGGUACCGGCAUAAGAAGCACCGGCUAACUACGUGCCAGCAGCCGCGGUAAUACGUAGGGUGCGAGCGUUAAUCGGAAUUACUGGGCGUAAAGCGUGCGCAGGCGGUUUUGUAAGACAGGCGUGAAAUCCCCGGGCUCAACCUGGGAACUGCGCUUGUGACUGCAAGGCUAGAGUAUGGCAGAGGGGGGUGGAAUUCCACGUGUAGCAGUGAAAUGCGUAGAGAUGUGGAGGAACACCAAUGGCGAAGGCAGCCCCCUGGGCCAAUACUGACGCUCAUGCACGAAAGCGUGGGUAGCAAACAGGAUUAGAUACCCUGGUAGUCCACGCCCUAAACGAUGUCAACUAGGUGUUGGGUGGGUAAAACCAUUUAGUACCGGAGCUAACGCGUGAAGUUGACCGCCUGGGGAGUACGGCCGCAAGGUUAAAACUCAAAGGAAUUGACGGGGACCCGCACAAGCGGUGGAUGAUGUGGAUUAAUUCGAUGCAACGCGAAAAACCUUACCUACCCUUGACAUGUCCAGGAGCCUGAAGAGAUUUGGGUGUGCCCGAAAGGGAACUGGAACACAGGUGCUGCAUGGCUGUCGUCAGCUCGUGUCGUGAGAUGUUGGGUUAAGUCCCGCAACGAGCGCAACCCUUGUCGUUAAUUGCCAUCAUUUAGUUGGGCACUUUAACGAGACUGCCGGUGACAAACCGGAGGAAGGUGGGGAUGACGUCAAGUCCUCAUGGCCCUUAUGGGUAGGGCUUCACACGUCAUACAAUGGUCGGUACAAAGGGUUGCCAACCCGCGAGGGGGAGCCAAUCCCAGAAAGCCGAUCGUAGUCCGGAUCGCAGGCUGCAACUCGCCUGCGUGAAGUCGGAAUCGCUAGUAAUCGUGGAUCAGCAUGUCACGGUGAAUACGUUCCCGGGUCUUGUACACACCGCCCGUCACACCAUGGGAGCGGGUUCCGCCAGAAGUAGGUAGCCUAACCGCAAGGGGGGCGCUUACCACGGCGGGGUUCGUGACUGGGGUGAAGUCGUAACAAGGUA
Molecule: ribosomal RNA, 1387 nt
Filed under: metagenome
Description: bacterial SSU rRNA
Rfam family: Bacterial small subunit ribosomal RNA
Source: RNAcentral